RNAcentral lists this transfer RNA (73 nucleotides) under Cricetulus griseus (Chinese hamster). It matches the Rfam family "tRNA". From Rfam's summary of the family: Transfer RNA (tRNA) molecules are approximately 80 nucleotides in length. Their secondary structure includes four short double-helical elements and three loops (D, anti-codon, and T loops). The record is from Rfam by way of RNAcentral. Lineage: Eukaryota; Metazoa; Chordata; Mammalia; Rodentia; Cricetidae.
GUGCACCCGGUUCAGUCGGUAGAGCAUGAGACUCUUAAUCUCAGGGUCGUGGGUUCAUGCCCCACGUUGGGCG